GCCGUCAUGGGACAAUGGUACUCCGCACGCUUGGAGAGCGUGUUACCUUCGGGUUUUCCAGGUUCGAUUCCUGGUGACGGCG
RNAcentral lists this transfer RNA (82 nucleotides) under Nanobdellota archaeon. RNAcentral describes it as "tRNA-Ser". It matches the Rfam family "tRNA". Rfam says of the family: Transfer RNA (tRNA) molecules are approximately 80 nucleotides in length. Lineage: Archaea; Nanobdellati; Nanobdellota. The record is from RNAcentral.